Cavia porcellus (domestic guinea pig) is the source of this 651-nucleotide long non-coding RNA. RefSeq lists it as uncharacterized. The transcript has 2 exons. The record is from RefSeq and is a predicted model, not a curated record. NCBI's taxonomy places the organism in Eukaryota, Metazoa, Chordata, Mammalia, Rodentia, Caviidae.
AUGCGCUGCGGCGUUAGGGAGAAGAAGAAACAGGAUGCUGGCGUCCGGAAGUGUGGUGAAACUGCGUCAGAAGCCAUCAAGCUUCGCGGUGCAAGUUUGCUUAGCACAGGGCCAGUGGCGCAAUGGAUAACGCGUCUGACUACGGAUCAGAAGAUUCUAGGUGUGAUUGAGAAACACAGUGACUGCUGCCAGCCAGUCCCCACCCAACAGAAACGGAGCUUAUAAAAAACGAUACUGUGUCCUCAUCCAACCAUAUUCACCUGAUCUGGCUCCGCGGGACCUGUGGCUCUUCCCAAAGUCAACGUGACCGUGAAACGGUUUGAAUUGAUUGCGGACAUUGAGGCAACCAGAAUUGCGCAACUAAAAACACUUGGGAAAGAGGACUCCAGAGCUGCUGCAGAAACUGGCAAGUACAAGAUGUGCGCUUUCUUAAAGGCAAGGAGAGGAUGCAAGAGGGACUCCGGGCAAUGUUGUGUUUUACUGUAAUACAUUUUUUUAAAGUACUAGUUAAGCAUUCACUAUAUUGUUGGGUCACACCGUGUAGCUCAAUAUAGAGUACCUGACUUUGCAUGCAUGAAUUCAAUCCUCAGCACCAAAAACUAAAAUGUAUUCCCACCCCAAGACCAUUAUAAUUAACGUCUUGAACCCAGA